AAAAGAACACCUGUUGUCUGUUUUCACCUAGGGAGCUGAGCACAUAACGACUUACACGUUCAAUACUCACAAAGCCCAGCAUACCUUCUGUAAGAGAUGUGGCGUUCAGAGCUUCUAUACUCCACGGUCAAACCCCGGAGGCUUCGGAAUCGCCCCCCACUGCCUGGAUGAGGGCACUGUGCGGAGUAUGGUCACUGAGGAAUUCAAUGGCAGCGAUUGGGAGAAGGCCAUGAAAGAGCACAAGACCAUCAAGAACAUGUCUAAAGAGUGAGCUUCUGCCUCUCCUGCCCUGAAAAGGAGGAAUGAUUGGGGCCAGCAACUUUGCUCUCCCUGCCGUGCCUCGGUGGUGCUCCUGAAUGUGGCUGACCUGGGCUGCUGGUUCCGUUGACUAGGGUCAUCUUGAUCUUUGAAGUUUGCUCCAGUUACCAGUUUCUUUAGGCAGCUCUUUGUCCUCCCUCUGCCCAGAUUUUGAUGUAGUCUAGUUGACACCCUUCUCUUCCCAACUUUUGUGUGAUCUUUUAGGAAAAAAAAUAAAUAUUUUUAACAUUAAAGCA
RNAcentral lists this small RNA (554 nucleotides) under Pongo abelii (Sumatran orangutan). RNAcentral describes it as "retained intron". Lineage: Eukaryota; Metazoa; Chordata; Mammalia; Primates; Hominidae. The record is from RNAcentral.